Molecule: ribosomal RNA, 254 nt
Filed under: uncultured bacterium
Lineage: Bacteria
Description: partial 16S ribosomal RNA
Rfam family: Bacterial small subunit ribosomal RNA
Source: RNAcentral
UACGUAGGGUGCGAGCGUUGUCCGGAAUUAUUGGGCGUAAAGAGCUCGUAGGCGGUGUGUCACGUCGUUCGUGAAAACCUGCAGCUUAACUGUGGGCGUGCGGUCGAUACGGGCAUCACUGGAGUUCGGCAGGGGAGACUGGAAUUCCUGGUGUAGCGGUGAAAUGCGCAGAUAUCGGGAGGAAUACCUAUGGCGAAAGCAGGCUACUGGACCGUCACUGACUCUGAUCUGCGAAAGCUAGGGGAGCAAACAGG